Molecule: long non-coding RNA, 421 nt
Filed under: Setaria viridis
Lineage: Eukaryota; Viridiplantae; Streptophyta; Magnoliopsida; Poales; Poaceae
Description: long non-coding RNA (SVIR_LNC004738)
Source: RNAcentral
GGGUAGUCGUAGUCCUAAUCAUUGAAUUUGCUAAUCGGGAGGUUGUUAGAUACGACCUGGACAGUCGUAUAACGCUGGUGAUCAGGGUACUCUCCUGUAGGAUGUAAUUAGAUCCGGAUCGCCGCAAUUCUCGGUUAUGAAUGCACUUGAUCACUGUUGAGCAUCGUAGUAUCAAUUCAUGCAAUCUGUAUUCUCCUGUUAUCAAGUAAUGUAUGAUUUAACAGCUAUGGUUGCUUUUACUUCUGUUAUCAUUUAGAAUGGUUAGGUAAUGACUUAACCCAAAUAAAAGGUAAAACUAAGGCAUUACUCAUAGUAAGCUUUUCGGCAAAAAUCGUGUUAGCCAAGCACACUCAAAAGCUAGCAUGCAUUCCAAAGAAAACUAUUAUAUUGGUUAGUCAGGUAAGACUUGCUGAGUACCCCA